Molecule: long non-coding RNA, 241 nt
Filed under: Elaeis guineensis (African oil palm)
Lineage: Eukaryota; Viridiplantae; Streptophyta; Magnoliopsida; Arecales; Arecaceae
Description: long non-coding RNA (EGUI_LNC006559)
Source: RNAcentral
CGGCCAGCGGGCCGGCGGGCCGCCGGUCUGCCUUCGUUUCUCGAAAGCCAGAGCCCGAAAGAACCGAAGAAGGCCCCUCCCUGGCGGCGGUCCACCCCCCGACCUCCACCGGUAAGUUUCUUCAUUUUUUUUUGUUUUUCGACACUCCCCCUCCACCCCGGUUGUGCGCCGGGCCUGCGGCCCGCCGGUCCGCCUUCGUUUCUCGAAAGUCGGAGCCCGGAAGAAGGUCCUCUCUGAUCCC